This 57-nucleotide transfer RNA is filed under the name Bdellovibrionales bacterium. RNAcentral's name for it is "tRNA-Gln". It matches the Rfam family "tRNA", at positions 10 to 63 of the family's 71-position model. Rfam says of the family: Transfer RNA (tRNA) molecules are approximately 80 nucleotides in length. Lineage: Bacteria; Pseudomonadati; Bdellovibrionota; Bdellovibrionia; Bdellovibrionales. The record is from RNAcentral.
CGCCAAGCGGUAAGGCAACGGAUUUUGAUUCCGUCAUUCGCAGGUUCGAUCCCUGCC